GCUUGCUGGGGGGAUUAGUGGCGAACGGGUGAGUAACACGUGAGUAACCUGCCCUUGACUCUGGGAUAAGCCUGGGAAACUGGGUCUAAUACUGGAUAUGACCUUCCAUCGCAUGGUGGUUGGUGGAAAGCUUUUGUGGUUUUGGAUGGACUCGCGGCCUAUCAGCUUGUUGGUGGGGUAAUGGCCUACCAAGGCGACGACGGGUAGCCGGCCUGAGAGGGUGGACGGCCACACUGGGACUGAGACACGGCCCAGACUCCUACGGGAGGCAGCAGUGGGGAAUAUUGCACAAUGGGCGCAAGCCUGAUGCAGCGACGCCGCGUGAGGGAUGAAGGCCUUCGGGUUGUAAACCUCUUUCAGUAGGGAAGAAGCGAAAGUGACGGUACCUGCAGAAGAAGCGCCGGCUAACUACGUGCCAGCAGCCGCGGUAAUACGUAGGGCGCAAGCGUUAUCCGGAAUUAUUGGGCGUAAAGAGCUCGUAGGCGGUUUGUCGCGUCUGCCGUGAAAGUCCGGGGCUUAACUCCGGAUCUGCGGUGGGUACGGGCAGACUUGAGUGAUGUAGGGGAGACUGGAAUUCCUGGUGUAGCGGUGAAAUGCGCAGAUAUCAGGAGGAACACCGAUGGCGAAGGCAGGUCUCUGGGCAUUAACUGACGCUGAGGAGCGAAAGCAUGGGGAGCGAACAGGAUUAGAUA
Molecule: ribosomal RNA, 692 nt
Filed under: Arthrobacter sp. MJH16
Lineage: Bacteria; Bacillati; Actinomycetota; Actinomycetes; Micrococcales; Micrococcaceae
Description: bacterial SSU rRNA
Rfam family: Bacterial small subunit ribosomal RNA
Source: RNAcentral